RNAcentral lists this unclassified non-coding RNA (401 nucleotides) under soil metagenome. RNAcentral's name for it is "partial contains 5.8S ribosomal RNA, internal transcribed spacer 2, and large subunit ribosomal RNA". The stretch from base 1 to 121 matches the Rfam family "5.8S ribosomal RNA", at positions 35 to 154 of the family's 154-position model. The record is from RNAcentral.
GAUGAAGAACGCAGCGAAAUGCGAUAAGUAAUGUGAAUUGCAGAAUUCAGUGAAUCAUCGAAUCUUUGAACGCACCUUGCGCCCCUUGGUUAUUCCAAAGGGCAUGCCUGUUUGAGUAUCAUGAACACCUCAACUCUUGUGGUUUCCCACAAUGAGCUUGGACUGUGGAGGUUUUGUUGGCCCUGUGGUCAGCUCCUCUCAAAUGGAUCAGCUUACCGGUGUUUGGUGGCAUUACGGGUGUGAUAACUAUCUACGCUCGUGGUCGUCUCCAAAUAACCUCCAGUGAUGGAGGUUCGCUGGAGCUUAUAAAUGUCUCUCCCCUGUGAAGACAGCCUUUGAACGUUCGAUCUCAAAUCAGGUAGGACUACCCGCUGAACUUAAGCAUAUCAAUAAGCGGAGGA